AGAUUGAACGCUGGCGGCAGGCCUAACACAUGCAAGUCGAGCGGUAGAGAGGUGCUUGCACCUCUUGAGGGCGGCGGACGGGUGAGUAAAGCCUAGGAAUCUGCCUGGUAGUGGGGGAUAACGCUCGGAAACGGACGCUAAUACCGCAUACGUCCUACGGGAGAAAGCAGGGGACCUUCGGGCCUUGCGCUAC
This 193-nucleotide ribosomal RNA is filed under the name uncultured soil bacterium. RNAcentral's name for it is "partial 16S ribosomal RNA". It matches the Rfam family "Bacterial small subunit ribosomal RNA", at positions 26 to 221 of the family's 1533-position model. The record is from RNAcentral.